This 2068-nucleotide long non-coding RNA is filed under the name Zostera marina. RNAcentral's name for it is "long non-coding RNA (ZMAR_LNC004805)". The record is from RNAcentral. Lineage: Eukaryota; Viridiplantae; Streptophyta; Magnoliopsida; Alismatales; Zosteraceae.
GCAAAUUAAUUAAAUAUUUUUAAAACAAAAUGAUUAAAUAAACAUUUAUAAUUUCAUACCGCAAUAGAGCUUAAUUCAAUCUAAAUUUUUGGAUUCUUGAUUUUUCAAAACCUACAUCAAGUCAACAACACAAUAAUUUAAUUAGUUAAUUAAAACAUUAUAUAAAUUAUUUAUUUAUUUAAUCAAAUCAAUUUAUAAAUUAUUUAAAAAUAAUCAAUUAAAUAAUUAUUUAAAACAUUUAUAAACAGUAAAUUAAAUAAUUCAUAAAUUAUAAUUCCAAUCGUGCAAGUUUGGAUGGUAGAGCCCUCUUAAGAGGUAAUUACUUCACUCUACGUGACAUUUUUAAAAUUUAAAUUUUUAAUUACUUAAUUAAUUAUUAAACAAAUAAUUAAUUAAAUAAUCAUUCAUUUUUACACAAAUAAUAAUUUUAUUAAUAAAAACAAUCAAUUAAAUAUUUAUUACAUAAGAAUUAUUUUAUAAUUUAAUGCAAAUUUUUCAUUAUUUAAAACAAUAUGUUAAUUACUUAUUUAAUUAAUUAAAACUUCUUUUUAAUUAUUUUUAAAAAGUAAAUAAAAUAUUUUUUUAAAUAAUUAAAACAAAAUAAUAUAAUAUUUCAUGCAAAUUAAAUAAUAUUUCAUUUUAAUUAAAACAAAAUUAUUUCAUUCAAAUAAUUCAUUAAUAAUUUUUUUCAUGCAUAUUAUUUAUUUCAUGCAUAUUUAAUUCAUGCAAAUUAUUAGUUUCAUGUAAACUUAAUAAUUUAAAUUAAAUAUUUUAAAUAUAUAUGAUUAAAAAUUUAUUUUUAACAUUAUAAUUUAAUAUUUAUUAACAUUUGAUUAAUAUUCAAUAAUUAAAUAAAUAAUAGAUUAAAUAAAUAAUAUUAAUAUUUACCGUAAUAUAGCUUAAUUACUUCAAUCCGAAAUUUAUACGAAUUCACGAUUUCACAAAACCUACAAUAAAUGGACAACACAAUAAUUAAUUAAAAAUAUAUUAUAUAACUUUUUUAAAAACAGUAAAUUAAUUAAUUAAAAUUAAAUCAAUCAUAAAUCAAUAAAACAAUCAUAAAACAAUCAUAAAACAAGAAAUCAAUAACAAGAAAUCAAUAAAACAAUCAAAACAACAUAAUUCUUAACCAAUAUAAACAUAAUAAACAAUCACAACAAUAUAAUCAAUAAACACCAACAUAAACAAUAUAGACACCAAGAAAAACAAUAUAAACACCAACAAGUACAUAUAAAAUGGUGGUAGGAUGCCUACUAUCGAAUCAAUAACAAGAAAUCAAUAAAAAAAAAUUCUAAUCACACCAUUCAUAUACAAAAUCGAAUCACACAUAUACAAAAUCGAAAAUAAUAUAGGAACCCUAAAAAUCAUUCAACAAAACCAUCUUAAAUUAAGGAAAUUAUAAACAUUCAUACCAAGUAAGAUGAAAUCAACCUAUAAAUGAAAUCAACAAAAUACAAAUGAAAUCAACAAAAAUGAAAUCACAAAUAAUAAUCAACAAAUAAUAAUCAACAAAAAUGAAAUCAACAAAAUAAUAAACCAAACCCACAAAUGAAAUACCUACACAGUCGAUCGGCGAUGAUGGAGACGGCGAAACCAGCGGGCGAACACACGACGAUCGCGAUCGGAGGAGGAGUCGGGAGUCGGCGGCGAAAUCAGACAGCGCGGGAGUGGGAGUCGGGAGACGGCAGCCGGCAACACUAAAAAACAGACAGACGCGUUCUGUCUGGAUUUGGGGUUUUUAAUAAACCCCAAAACUUACAUGACGGAUUUCCGCCAUGUAAGUACACUUAAGUGCCACCAGCACUAAGGUGAAAGUCCGCCCAAACGAAAUUUGGGCGGACUUUUUCCGCCCGAGUCCCCGAAUACUUAACAUGGUGGACAUCCGCCAUGUUAAGUCAAUUUAAUCGGGUAAUCGGGCUGAAAAUUGGGGGUCAUUCGAAAUUUUGGGCGGGAUAGUUUAGAUGGCGGAUUUCCGCCAUCUAAACACCGCCAUCGAAAGUAAUUUCGAACCGCCUCGAGUCAAAACUUUUCCUCGACGGAUUCGAUGAAUAGAUGGCGGACAUCCGCC